AUACGUAGGUGACAAGCGUUAUCCGGAUUUACUGGGCGCAAAGGGCGUGUAGGCGGUCUUGCAAGUCAGAAGUGAAAUUCCUGAGCUCAACUCGGGUGCUGCUUCUGAAACUGCAGGACUUGAGUGCUGGAGGGGAUAGCGGAAUUCCUAGUGGAGCGGUAAAAUGCGCAGAUAUUAGGAAGAACACCGGUGGCGAAGGCGGCUAUCUGGACAGUAACAGACGCUGAGGCCCGAAAGCGUGGGGAGCAAACAGGAUUAGAUACCCUGGUAGCCCACGCCGUAAACGAUGAAUACUAGGUGUAGGGGGUAUCGACUCCCUCUGUGCCGCAGUUAACACAAUAAGUAUUCCGCCUGGGGAGUACGGCCGCAAGGUUGAAACUCAAAUGAAUUGACGGGG
RNAcentral lists this ribosomal RNA (397 nucleotides) under uncultured bacterium. Its description in RNAcentral is "partial 16S ribosomal RNA". It matches the Rfam family "Bacterial small subunit ribosomal RNA", at positions 523 to 918 of the family's 1533-position model. The record is from RNAcentral.